Molecule: ribosomal RNA, 435 nt
Filed under: uncultured bacterium
Lineage: Bacteria
Description: bacterial SSU rRNA
Rfam family: Bacterial small subunit ribosomal RNA
Source: RNAcentral
CACAAUGGGGGAAACCCUGAUGCAGCCAUGCCGCGUGUGUGAAGAAGGACCUUCGGGUUGUAAAGCACUUUCAGUAGGGAGGAAGGUAGUGUAGUUAACACCUGCAUUAUUUGACGUUACCUACAGAAGAAGCACCGGCUAACUCCGUGCCAGCAGCCGCGGUAAUACGGAGGGUGCGAGCGUUAAUCGGAAUUACUGGGCGUAAAGCGCAUGCAGGCGGCCUGUUAAGUCAGAUGUGAAAGCCCGGGGCUUAACCUCGGAAUUGCAUUUGAAACUGGCAGGCUAGAGUCUUGUAGAGGGGGUAGAAUUUCAGGUGUAGCGGUGAAAUGCGUAGAGAUCUGAAGGAAUACCAGUGGCGAAGGCCGGCCCCCUGGACAAAGACUGACGCUCAGAUGCGAAAGCGUGGGGAGCAAACAGGAUUAGAUACCCUGGUAG